Long non-coding RNA from Vombatus ursinus (common wombat), 1416 nucleotides. RefSeq lists it as uncharacterized. The record is from RefSeq and is a predicted model, not a curated record. The transcript is spliced from 4 exons. Lineage: Eukaryota; Metazoa; Chordata; Mammalia; Diprotodontia; Vombatidae.
AGUACAGCUUUCACAGAAGCAAUGGGAUGUCUGAACACAAGUGGCUGACUUGGGAGUGACUUUAUGAAGCACUUUUUUGCCUUCCUUAGGCAGGAAAAAAUUGGAAUUCUGCACCUGCAUCAGAAAAGGACCAGACUAAUUCUGCCACCCAGUAGCAAGAAACUCACACAGCUAGCUGGUCUGAAAUUGAAUCAUAAUAAAUGUGCCAACCAGAGGACAAAGGUAGCUGAAGACAUCGAGCCAUGCCUGUUACACAGAAGCUGUUGAAGUGUUGUGAGAUCUCCAAGGUUCAGCUGUGCUGAAAAUCAGAAAAUGACUCAGGAAGAGUUCCCAUACCACAUGAUGCAGUCCUAAACUGAGUUUUAAAGCUAUCAACAAGCAUUUUUUAAGUGCCUAAAUGAACAGAAAUCUACUAUAACUGAGAAAUUGAUGAAGGUUGCUUCAGUGAACAUUCAACGCUGUCGGUGAGUUUGGAAUUAAAAUGAAAACCAUCGACCGUUGAUUGUACCCUACAGCUAACCACCAUCGUCCUCCUUCCAGGACUUUCACUACAGACAGAAAACCAAACCAGGACACUCAAGGACUCCUCCAGUCUCUUAUCCUGCCCAGCUUUAUUUUCCAAAGGUCACAAUCAACAUUCAUUGCUGUCGGUGGGUUUAACUGUGUGGACAAGCUCACUGAACAAUGAAUGCAACUGUGGCCCCACUUUAUUGCAGACUCAGAAAAAAGGAAUAUCAUCUAUGAAAGCCUUCCUGGAACACAGAAAUCUUUAUUUUUUUUUUUGCCCUCAGCAGACCUUUUCUAAUCAGAAGACUGGCAGACACUUUUAGGAUUUUGAAGUUCAGUUUGUAUCAGAUGUUUGUUACAAAAGCCCAGGUUGUAAUAGGGACAGUAAUCUCUCUGCUCUUCUCUGCAAUAUAAAAAGGGUAACCCUACCCCCUUUAAGGGAGAGGAAUUUCCUGUCACUUUCUAGAUUAGGAAAUCACUCACAUUCAUAUCAUUACAGAAUUUGGUGAGAAGGAUAUAACUAAAACACAUCUACUGCAAUGUUGAAAAACAAAAUUAUUACAUUGGGGUAACUCACAAUUCUUGUGUCGUAUUAUGAUUUCAUUUUAUACUAUAAGAAACAAUGCAAAGAAUACCAGCGACUCUAUUGAACCUAGUUAGGAAGAGCAUUAUAACCACCUCAUAAAAUCACUCCUCUCCGUAUCCUUCCUAUGAUUUGCCAGUCUGUAACCAAUUUGGCAUUCUUCUUUUGUUGCUUUCAUUUGGUGACUUGCAUGUAACAUACCAGUUACAAGAAGUAGAGAAAUCAUAUAAAUAGUACAUUCCUUUAAGCUAUUAUAACCCACCUGACAUGUGUACCAUGAGAUUCUUUUCCCUAAUUAAAACUAACUUGAACACUUAUUUCUUCAA